AUUGAACGCUGGCGGCAGGCCUAACACAUGCAAGUCGAGCGGAUGAAGGGAGCUUGCUCCUGGAUUCAGCGGCGGACGGGUGAGUAAUGCCUAGGAAUCUGCCUGGUAUUGGGGGAUAACGUCCGGAAACGGGCGCUAAUACCGCAUACGUCCUGAUGGAGAAAGUGGGGGAUCUUCGGACCUCACGCUAUCAGAUGAGCCUAGGUCGGAUUAGCUAGUUGGUGGGGUAAAGGCCUACCAAGGCGACGAUCCGUAACUGAUCUGAGAGGAUGAUCAGUCACACUGGAACUGAGACACGGUCCAGACUCCUACGGGAGGCAGCAGUGGGGAAUAUUGGACAAUGGGCGAAAGCCUGAUCCAGCCAUGCCGCGUGUGUGAAGAAGGUCUUCGGAUUGUAAAGCACUUUAAGUUGGGAGGAAGGGCAGUAAGUUAAUACCUUGCUGUUUUGACGUUACCAACAGAAUAAGCACCGGCUAACUUCGUG
RNAcentral lists this ribosomal RNA (484 nucleotides) under uncultured bacterium. RNAcentral's name for it is "partial 16S ribosomal RNA". It matches the Rfam family "Bacterial small subunit ribosomal RNA", at positions 30 to 507 of the family's 1533-position model. The record is from RNAcentral.